RNAcentral lists this long non-coding RNA (250 nucleotides) under Lathyrus oleraceus (garden pea). Its description in RNAcentral is "Pisum sativum (pea) long non-coding RNA (PSAT_LNC018720)". Lineage: Eukaryota; Viridiplantae; Streptophyta; Magnoliopsida; Fabales; Fabaceae. The record is from RNAcentral.
GCGGUUUGCAACCUGAAGAGUGACGGUUCGUUGUUGUGUAGUUUUCUCCAACAAAAAGAUGUUGGUGGUGAUUUGGUGUCGGUUGAAAACGAUGGCGGAGAAAUUUGGAGUUGGUUUGUGAUGAUGAUGAUAUUUAAUAAAUAAUAUGAAUGAAGUUUUUGUGUGUUAUGUUGAAGAUAGAGUUGAGUUGUGUUUGAGAGAUUGAAAAGUGAAAAUAUUUUUUCUAAGUUUUGUUGUUGCUUGGUGGUUG